RNAcentral lists this unclassified non-coding RNA (338 nucleotides) under Hevea brasiliensis (rubber tree). Lineage: Eukaryota; Viridiplantae; Streptophyta; Magnoliopsida; Malpighiales; Euphorbiaceae. The record is from RNAcentral.
AAUCCUAACUAUCUUUUCUUUGUUCCUACCAAAAUCAACCCUAUUUUAGCUCUAAUUGUUGAGAUCUAAUUGUCAUAGACUCUUCCACUACCACAAUGCAAUACACACCAUCCCUUAUCAUAUCUAAUACAUUGGAGAAACAAAUCAUUGAUAAAAAUAACCUCACUUCAGGCACUUAAAACAGGAAUUCAAGAUGCAGGAAAAUAUUUAUAAUUUUUUAUAAACCAUUUUACUACUGUCAUUGUUCUAAUACAAGUUCUUUUGAAUGCUCAAUCUCAUAAAAAUCAAUAGAGUAGAAAGAGUCGACAAUUGUUACCAAUAUCAAGGCAUAGACUUCC